UGAAUGUAUGUCUGGCAAUUCAACCGUAAGGGGGAAGUUAGUAAGUUGUACGAUGAACAUGUGUGGAAAGUACAAACAGGAAAAGUGAAAUUGCAGCAAGUAAUAAAAUGAAGUUAAGUGCAAGCAUUUAGAUGGUGAUACAGGGGAAAUGGUACAUGUUUACAGCUCGUUGUACAUAUGUUUCAUUGACUGUAUGCUAAUCUGACAAGCAUUUAACUGUAUGCUAAUGUAACAAAUAGCUGAUCAGUUAACAAUUGCCCAUGUCAUAAUAGUUUCAGUACACUCCAUAUUUGGCUGAAACUCUUAUUGCUGGACAUGACUUCUUGCGAGUACUAUCAAGCAUCAGUGAUGAUGACUCCAUAAGUAAGUUUGUCACACAGUAAUUCAUAAUUGCGUUUUCACUUACUCUUUUUGCUAUUUGAAAUUGCAGGCCUGUAAAGGUGACAAUGUCCCAACAUGCAUGAUCCCUAAUGCUGCCAUGUGCUCGCCCUUCCACAUCUGCCCAUGUUAUCUUUCUUCCUAUGAUUAAAGCCGAAGCUUAUCUAUUUCUCACAUUCAAACCAAUGCUGUCAAAGGAACUCCACCAACUAGGAUACUUAUACACAUUCUAUAUGCUCUAUAUUUACUGUUAUUUCACAAUAUAACCUACUUCAACUGUGUUUUGAUAAGCAUUCAUUACUUUAUGGGACAUGUUUCAAUGUUAUGGAUGUACGACAAUUAUGUGUUUUGAACUCCUGUUGUAUAUUUCUUAUGUCGACAUUGCAGCUUGGAUUUUUGAAUCCACCUUUAUACGUAUGCAGUUCCAGUAUCUUCUCACUGUUACAGUUAUGUUUGCCGUCUAUUAAUUAAACCUGCUUGUCCAUCUCUUCCCUUGCAUUUACUUGUGCAUCACCAUUUACUUCAUUUACACCCAUUACCAAAUCAAACUGGAUUUGGAAGCAUCUCUUCAUUUGGUUAACUAUUCUUCUUUAUAUCCAUUUUAUGCCAACUAAGGCUAUUAUUUAAUCAACUAACAAAUUACAAAUAUCUUGGCCAUAUGAUCAUUCUCCUUUUAUUCAACCACCCAAUGUUUAGAGACAUUUAAGUAUUUCAAGCCCAGCCAUUGGUGAUACUAAUGUAACAACACAUGCGUUGAUUUUUCAGCUACCAUCAAUUUCAUAUGUGCAGUUUGCCGAACUCAUUUUCCCAUUUUGAUACAUUUUCGUACUUGCUCCAUGCUUUAUUCCAAUUCUGCUUGUCAUUCAAAUCCUAACCAAAAUCAUUUUAAAUCAAUUACCAAUCCAUAAUUUUUGUUUCUCUCCACUCCACAAUUUGUUGUCUUACCUAUCUAAGUUACUGUUAAUGCAGCUAUAUUUUGCUUCCCACUUAAUUCAUUUAACUCUUUCCUAUUUCUUUUAAGAGGAACAAAUAAAAUACUUCAUAUCCUUUCACUAUUACAACUGCUCAAUAUUUUAUGCCUCCUACAACAAUGAAACUGUUACUAAUCUACAUAUUAUUGUCCCUCGACAAAGUAUUUGCUUAUACAUUUAUUUGUGCCAGCUAACAUGUUUAUUGUUAUGGAAACCAACAUCUUCUUGUUUUCUUAAACAAUAUAUUAGCAGUGUCAACAGUUCCAGUCUAAUUACCUGCACUCUCGGUUUGGUUCAUCUGCAACGUGGCGUUUUCAGCAUUGCACAUUCUUCACCCUUUUCAUCUAACGAUGACUUCACUACAAGACGAAAUGUGGGGGCACGGUGCCCUGGGGGCUGAUAAUUAAUGGAAGAUUGUCAGUUUUCCUUUUAUUAAAAUUAAUAUAUACUACUCACUCCCUACUAUUUUUAUAAUAACUAAUAGCCUCUUUGGCAGCAUAAUUCUGUAGUAUUACCUU
Molecule: long non-coding RNA, 1867 nt
Filed under: Citrus x clementina
Lineage: Eukaryota; Viridiplantae; Streptophyta; Magnoliopsida; Sapindales; Rutaceae
Description: Citrus clementina (C. clementina) long non-coding RNA (CCLE_LNC000300)
Source: RNAcentral